UCUCUUUACAGAAAGCAGAAACAGGCAAUGUGAAGGAUAAAAAGCAAAUCUCCUACUGCCCCAGCGCCAUUCCACUGGAACUAAGGUCCUGCUUUCAUUUUCUUUUUCACUAUGCUUAGCACGCUUCUUUUAGAACAAACAAUCACAUGCAGUCCCUGGAGUUACAAGAGAGACUGUAAACCUUGGAAGUCCAUAGGUUGGAGAAAGCCAAAAGAGACAUCUGAAAUGGUGGAUGACAUGACAGAAGAAUGUGUGGAAGACGCCAACCACAGGCUACGACUUCCCUUCAUUAGAAACUUAAAACUUCCCUUCAUUAGUCUCAAGAUAUUGAACCCACCAUGCAAGAUGGACAAUAAUACCCCUCCAAGGUGGUGCCCAGCAGCCCAAUUAUUUCCACUAAUUCCUACCUCCUAAAGCUCACACCUUUCCUAACACUUGUAUUUGGGACUAAACUUCCAGCACACAAGGGGCUAAGGCUGUCUAAGAGCUAUGAAUGUAUGUCCUGGAAGAACUGUGUUUCUGAAGUGUUUUCAAUUUCCUUCUGGGAAAUUUUAUAUGGCUCUCAAUGUAAAUAAGUAAAAAUCAAUAAAUAUCAAUAGAUAAA
Molecule: long non-coding RNA, 604 nt
Organism: Cavia porcellus (domestic guinea pig)
Lineage: Eukaryota; Metazoa; Chordata; Mammalia; Rodentia; Caviidae
Exons: 2
Source: RefSeq, a predicted model, not a curated record